Molecule: non-coding RNA, 2087 nt
Organism: Camellia sinensis
Lineage: Eukaryota; Viridiplantae; Streptophyta; Magnoliopsida; Ericales; Theaceae
Source: RefSeq, a predicted model, not a curated record
CUAUAUUUCAGCUUAUUUUUGCAGUUCAAUACACCAUGGAGUUCUCCAUUGCCAUAGCAUCUAGAGAACCAAAUGCAUUGUUAAUAUGGUCCCAUUUGCAAAGAAAUCUAAAAUCUUCAAUCAAGUCAAUUCAUUUUGUUUUCAAUAGCAUCCACAUGCAUCUAUUUCAUUUGUUAAAGUUGGAUAAUUACCAAAGAAAAUGGAUCCAUCAACAAAAGAAAUAAAAUUGAUGAUAUUUUCUUAUAAUGUUCCGAAUGAUUUUGUACAUUAAACAGGCUGUACUUGUUUUAAAUGCUAUGGAAAACAAAAUGGAUUAAAUAUUGCAAGUUGAGAUGGAAUAGUUUCAUUUUCAUUGAGUACCCAAAUGCUUUUUAAAUGGAUAUCAAUAUCAAUGUUUCUCUUUUGCCAUUUUAAUUUUAUAAUCAUGGUAAUGUGAACUUUUUUCAUGUUCUAUUCCCAGUUACCAGCCUUGAGGAUACUGUAAAGCAGUGUACAACUGUCUUCCUAAGCAAGCAGGUUUAAUGGUCCCUGUGGUUAUUUCCACUUUGUUGCCUUCAAUUAUUUGCCAUUUGUAAUUUAUAGAUAUAAGAAUGAUGGGUAGUAGAAAUAUCUGUUUGAAUCUGUAAUUCCCUUCACAGGCUUCAUUUCUGUAUUCAAGUGACGGCUAUUUUCAUGUUGCCAGUGUUCAUUAGAGGUUCAAUCCGUUAUUUGAAUGAGAUCACAGAGAUUGAUAGACAUAGCCAAUAUUUUUGUAUGAAAUAAGAAUCCAAUUAUUUGUAUUCAGCUUAUUAAUGCCCUAAUGUCAUUUGAGAUUUCUUUCAUACGCACUACUAUCUCUCUACCUUUUCUUUUUUGUUUUCCUGUUUUGUCUUGGAUAUCUUAGUAAAGCAAUUUAUCUGGCAGUGGAAUAAAAUUUUGGGAAUUAUGCAGGUUUUCUUCUUAGUAAUGAUGAUCAUUACUGAAAUUGAUGCAACAUCAUAAAAGAAUAAUCUUCUAACAAAUAGAUUGUUUUGUGUAUUUAAAUUUCCAAAUGAAAAUACCACAAACUCUAAUCCUCAAGUAACAAUUAGAUUCACUUUGCAAUAAUCUAACAUUUCCUUGUUGUUUCCUCUUCCUUCCUAUAAUCAGGUUUAUGUUUACUAGCUCAGCAACCCAAUAUUUUUCCUCAGCGUAAGUUGGGCGUGUUACUGCAUCAAUGGCAAGAUUACCUGGCUCAUGAAUGAUCCAAUCGUUGAUCGGUAGUGACGGAAAAAAUUAUGAAGGUUUUUGGCAGAGUUCAUCCUGAUUUUUGGCUGUUGAUACUGACUUUGAACUUUCACUCUCAUGGCUCCCACUCAUUUUAGUUGCUCAUUUCUUGCCUGAAUAUAUUAGGACUAUUUGCUCUAUUUUACUUGACAUAAAUAGCUUCCUAAGUUACUUAUAAAGAAAAUCUUGUUAAAGGUGGUUUAAAGUCUCUGCAAGCUUGUCAGCAACUUGGGAUCGAACCAUGGUCAUGCACUUACUGCACCGAUUAAGAAAAUCUAACAUGCCAUCUCAUCUUGCUAUGCUCUAUUAAGUGAUGGUUUUUAUGGUUAACUGCUCAGUCUAUAAUUCCACAAAUCAGAGUGCUUAUAGAUUUACAUUUAAAUUUUGCUUUUGAAAUUAUUUCUACGAAAUUGGUGUUGUGUCUGCAGAUGUUGUAUCUAAAUGAAUGCAAAAUAUCUUGUAUUGUUUGAUAUUUGUUUUUUUUCACCUUGCAUAAUAUCUUACCGGAAUCUUACUACCAUGGUAGCUUGAGAAACAAUGCUGUGGAUAUUCAGAGUCAUUAUGUUUUAACUGGAUAUAGUAGGAACCCUCAAACAGAAGCUUUCUUGCAGUUUCUAGAACUUCCUUAUAUUCUUGAUAACAACACAUCAGAAUCAAGGGAACAAACCCGUAGUCCGGCUUCCUUUGUUUCUACAGGUGUAGGUUCCUUUGACCAUGACAGUGACGUGGAUGAAAUAGAAGAACUUGCUGAAGCUCAUGAUGCAGAAACCCAAGAGGAAAUUUUAUAGAACUUUGGAAAUCCCUGGGUAUUCCACCAAGAACCAAGUUAAUGUCGUUAUUGG